GAGGUGUUAGUAAAACAAUUACAUAGCCCCGUCAAAGCUAAGCUAUAGGUGAAACCCCUGUACACCUCU
Molecule: transfer RNA, 69 nt
Filed under: Brotogeris cyanoptera
Lineage: Eukaryota; Metazoa; Chordata; Aves; Psittaciformes; Psittacidae
Description: tRNA-Asp
Source: RNAcentral